UUUUUUUUUUUUUUUUUUUUUUUUUUGGUCUCCUAACUAGUACCAUGAUAACUUAGAAAUGGAUGGUUUUAAACCAACAAGAAUACCCAUAUCUAAAUACUACCUACUUUUUAGCACCCUCAACUAACAUAAAAGGUGGUCUAGAGUGUGCAGAUACAUGGAAAUAUAUUUACUGAAAUCCUGGUGCACACCACAGAUGCUGUGUACAGCUUGCUCUGUGCUGCUGUCUGAGAUACCCCAGGGUCUGAUGCACUUCAGUCAGCAGCAGAGAGGAGCCUGACUCUCAGCACACUGCAGAAAGUGCAAAACACAACUGCUCCUCAAGCAAUGAAGCAAUUUAUUCCCCAGCUCAGCAAAAGGCAUUAUCAGCACCUAUAACUCUCAUGUUUGCAACUUCCAGAUCUUGUUAGAUAGUCUUCUGGGGUCAUUUUUUAAGCUUCCCAGGAUGCACACAUUAGUUGUGAUCCUUUCACAGAAUUUGUGCUAUGGUAGGCCUCAUCAUUCCCUCAAAAGUCAAAUUUUAGACAGGAAGUUUAACAAUUACUUUUUUUUGGGGGGAGAAUGAUUUUUACUCAAGAUGUAUCAUUCCUCUGUAAGUAUUUAAAUUUUCAAAAUAUGCCCAUAUACACUGAAGGUUUGAAGGUUUAUCUCAGUUUUAGAUUUAUUUAAUAGUUUUCAUACAUUGAAAACUUCUUUAAAUGCUUGAAAUUCACAUAAAUCAUUUCAGCAAUGUAAAAUAAAAAUUUUAUAGACCUGAGUGUGCAUAGCAAGUAAAAAUGAUGAAAAUUAGUAUUUCAGGUAUCACACAAAUAAAAGUUACCCCAAAUCCCUGCAUCCAAGGCAUCUCCUGCAGAAUAAAAAAGGGCUUAAGUUCCUAUGUCAGAUCACUUCCUACCAUAGGAAACUCCCGGGGAUGUUACACUGAAUUGUUUGCUUCACAAGUCUGAAAUGAUUACUCACUCAUGCUCACUUAAAUAAGUAGAAGAUAAUUGCAUCCUGCCUAUCAGAUAGAAAGUGUUAAACCUUUGGAAACUAUUGGACUACUGAUAAAACUAACCAGUAGGUUGGGAAGGAAAUAUUUUUGCUGCCUUCACUUUUUAUUGAAGGAGUAUUUUUACAGAUGCAGUGUCUAAAGCAGAGGUUCCAGCAGCCCACACCAUCCUAGGAAGAGGGAAGCAGAGCCAAAGUGCUUUUACCAAUUUUGACAGAGCUUGACUUUCUUUUCACAAGAUUCUUUUUCUGCCCUCUUGCCUCUGGGUGAGCUCAUGAUUCCCUUCUCAGAAGAUCUGUAGAUCUAAUAACUCUAAGCCUCAGCAAAUCCCGUGAUAAGAGGAGGAGCUUAUUCUUUCACCUGGCUGCACCUUGAGGACAAGGAAGACUAUUCAUCUGCAGAACAAGUGCACUACAGUACUUGCAAUGUUCUUCCUGGCUUUCUGCCAGAUUCCCACUGAGGCUACACACACCCUCUAGGCUAAAAUAGGAUAUUCCUAAGGAAGAAGUGGUUAAUUAUAUUAUAAAAGCUUCAAAUGUCAUUUCGAAGAACAAUAAAGAUUGUCUGAAAGACUGCCUACCUGUACAGAAUCCUGUCAUAUGAUACAUAUCCUAGUUCCAAUGCUUGCAUUUAGUCUCUGUUAAAAAUAAAUCAUUCAUCCAGCUGCUAAUGUACUUCUUGGUUCAGUGACAACUGCUCACUUGGUCAGGCUUUACGAGCAAAGAGCUGUUAUCUGUAAAACAGGACUGCAAUAGAUAAGGUCUUUCUUUUUUAGUUUUGUUUACUACACAUCUGUGUAACAAUAAAAUUUAAGGUAGUCAGGCUACUAAGAAGGGAUUUUUUUUUUUUUUGUUAGUGUAUCAAAAUACCACAAAAAAUUGCAGAAAUCCAAGAAGUGUUAGAGCGGUCUGGUUUCUUUAGGUGCAUUGGUACAUAUCUGUAAUUUCUAGGUGGAGCCAUCCCCUGAUAAUUGGGUAAUUUUCAUUGUUUUUUUCCUCAAGUACUGGUUCUUAAUUUGAUUCUGAUUUCUACAUUCAUCACUUUCUCACUCUUCCAUCUUUCCAGCAGUCAACUUUUACAGCUAUUCUAAAUUCUGUGUCAGUAACAUUCAUUUGAAAAUUUUGUCAGAAAGUAGCAACAGAAUAAGCAAUUGAUCUGCUGAGUAUUUUUAACAAAAUAUUGAUAGAAAACCCUCCUGCACUUUGGUCCAUGCAAACCAGAAGCCACCACUGCCCACGAGUUUUUGGGUUUUUUUUGAGUUAGGUAAUCAUGGCUAACCAUGCCAUGAGUGAAGAAAAACUGGAAAAGCAGAAAAUGUGAGGGUCUGGAUCAAGUGUGGACAAAUCACUAGUUCCAUCUGCUAAGAAAUGAUGUUCAGCACAGUUUGCUGCUGUUGAGCAUUAUCCAGGGGCAUAAGACCUGCCAAAGGAAGUGAGAGGGAGGAAUGUUUUAAUGGAAAACUUUCUGAAAAGCAGACUGAAAGCAAAAGGUCACUGAGUUGAUUUUUUUGAAAGAGAUAGUUACUGGAAAGGGGCAGACAACAUGAAAUUGAGCAAUUAGACAGGCAUGGAGAACCAGGGAAGUUUUUUCAGAUGGAGACUGCAACUGAGAUUUUGCAAGGAAGACUGGUAGGGAAAGGUUAUUUAGCUACAUGAAUAAGAGGAAAACAAUUUCAGGAAAAAUGGAUCCAGUAUGGUUUCUGAAGGAAGCAAAUAUAUUUACUUUAAGAUGGAACUCAGGGAGUUAAUGAAAAGUGUAUAUUUGGUGUGGUAUUUAGGGGAUUUAUGGAAGAUUUAUAUACAUAUUCAGGAAGACUGGGACAGAAAUAAUAUAAGGAUUUAGAAAUAAUAGCAUUUAAAAAUCUAAAUUAUGAACCAGCAAUGUGUCAUUGUAGAAAGAAGACAAAUAUUAUCUUGUGCUGCAUUAGGCUGAGCAUUUUCUACAGCUUGAGAGAGCCGAUCCUUCCAUUCUGCUCCAGCCUUGAAGAUACUCAAAACCAAAUGGACACCGUCCUGAGCAACCUGCUCUCACUGAGUCAGCUUUCAGCAGAAAUUUGGACCAGAGGAUCUUCACAGGUGCCUUCCUGCCUCAGCUGGUCUGUGAUCCUAAACAGGGAGGAGGCAGAAAACACAGCAUUUGGUACAACAAUCAACAAAUAUUUCUCUGCAAAUGUUUGCUGCUGCUGCAGCAUAAAAGAGCAUUGAUGUGUGAAUACAAUACAAUCAAAUACAGAAAUAUGUGUGACAGUAAGCACAAUGACACAAUAGACAAAAGCUGGAUAUAAAACUAGACAAAGAAGUAGCAGAAUAACCACAAAGGAAGAAAAUGGAAACUAAAGGUAAAGAAAGUUUUUUUUCCUCAAAGGAACAUUUCAUAUUUGAGAAUUGGGGCUGCAUUGGCAAAAAUGCCAAAAUCCUCUGUUUCUGAAUGAGAUAUAUAAAUAUUACAUGACUAAUUUUCUCAACUGCAAAAAUGACUUAAUAGCAAGCAUGGGUUUACAUAACAUUUCCAGGAAAACAAGACAAUCUCCUGGAUUUUAUUACACAAAAGGUGAAAAAAUUCAAGUGAUUUCAGUAACCAUUAAACAAAACACCAAAGACUGUGGCCACAGACCAAAUAAUUACAUUUCCAUAGUGUGAAGUAUGAAUGCUAGCAUCAAAAAUCCCAAAUGACCAGAGAAAUUUCUGAAAACCAGUAAGGGGCAGGAAACUUAUAGAUCAGGACAGUGUGGAUUACUCCUAAAUCAGUAUUAAGGAAUGUUUGUAUCUUUCUGGGCAUCACAGAAAUGUUGGAAAGAUGUAAGGCUGUAAUGUCAAGUAAAAUGGGUUAUUUUCUUUCUUUUUUUCAUAAAAUUGUUUAUUUUUUAUUUCAUCUUAGGUAGCUGGCAUCUUUAAUGACUUGGUAAAACUACUCAUAAAGGGUAGAACAAGAUAAAUCAUCAGAAAUUAGAGAUAUUUCGUAUUUGUGUGAUUUUUUUUUUAACCUCACUUUACAUCAUGCUGCACAAACAUCAUUAUUUACAACACAGAAAUUGUAACCUAAGAAUUAUAGUGACCUAUCAGAUAUCUGUAUCAUCAUCAAACUCAUGCUAAAUCAGAUAGGGAGGGCAAAGUAAAAUAAUAGAAGAGGUCAAUAAAAUAAUUAUACAUACCAGAUACCAUGAUAAGGAGCACUUACAGAGCAUAAUUCACAUUUUGCUAUGGAUUUACUAUUACCACUAAAUGGGAAAUAUUUCACAAUAUCCUUGACUCACCCAUGUGUGAUACAUGAUGCAAUCAAUUUCCAUGGAAAUUUGUAUCUAGCCUUUUACUAGAACAGUACUUUGAACCCCAUAUUAUUAUGCCUUGGCAAAACUCAGAAUUAAGGCUGCUUGCUGUCAAAGCAGGCUGUUUAGCACCCACAGACUGGAGAGACAAAAGGGUAUAUUACUGACACUGCUCUCUGGUGACCCUGAGGAACUCUAUUAAAAUACAGUUGCUAAGGUCAGUGGUCCUGGUCUCUGAUGACUACCCUGAAUGGCUGGGAUUUUCUUUUUUACUGAAGUGUUUGAAUCACUUAAGUUAUUAAAAAGAGAAGACUGGACUCUGGAUCCCAUAUCUCCACAUCUGCCCAGUUACAUCCCGCAGCUUCUCUGCAGACCCAGCGGUACCUUCAGUGUGAAGCACAAGCUCUCCCAAAGAGCAGAGGCUGCUUGGUCACUGCCUUGCUGCCCUUCAGUUGUGGUUAAGGAGAGGACAGAGAGGAGACAAUUUUAGCCAUUCAGUUGUUGGCUUUGCUGCCAAGCAAUGUGACCUCUGUGAUGAACUGAGCAGGUCUGACCAGCUCUGCACAGCAAGGGAUGGGCACUUUCUAUUAACUCUGCGGGUUCUGAGAGCAGCCCAGGGGAAAAGGACAAACUGCCAAUUCCUUGAAUCACUGCCCUGGCAGCUAUGGAGGGCAGGGGAGGGGAGGAGAAACAAAGUUACCCCUUUUGUUUAAUUCAAUUACUUAUGAUUAGGACAUACCUCUUACACAGUGGAAUGCUUCUCAAUGUAAUAAGCGUCAACCUGACGUGAGGAACAGUGGGUAUCUUUGUAGAGCAGGAGGGAAGGAGCUUUGUCCUGUCCUCUAAAAAAUAUGUUCUUAUGAAACCACUUGAGAACUGAGAACUUGUUUUACCUGAAGACUGGAAAGAAUAAUCCUUUUACUUUUUUUUUUUCAAUAAUUUUUUUUAUUCUUUAAUUCUCCAGCCCUCAGGCCCAAAACCACAGAAUAUUAUUGGACUGACCUGCUCCAGGUGACAUUCUGCAUGUUUAAAGGCACAAAGCUCAGAAGGAACAAUUGAGCCUGAUGAGAUUUGAAUUAAUGAGAUAAAACUUAAUUUAUAAGAUUUAGUAAGAGAUGGACACUCUGCCUUUGAAGUGCUUUGAUUGCAGAACACAGCCCAGUUUCUCAUUCUUUACCUUCUGAGGUACAUGAACUGAGCAUUGCUCAUGAAAGUGGAGAGUAAACUUUCCACAACUGGGGAAAUUCCUUAUAAUCAAGACAGCCUGGGAACUUGAACCAACAAAUGAGGGGCAGAGCAACUGUGGAAAAAGUACAGUAUCCACUCACCUGCUGCUCUGUGUACAGAAGGCCACACAUAUCACAUUCAAGGAAAGUAUCUUAUCACUUUUCUUCCACAACAGCCUCUUCCUUAGUGAGUGAUUACCUAUCAGAUUUGCUUGGGAGGCUGAUUUUUUAAAGUUUACCUGAUGAGGGCUUUUCACAUAGCAAAAAGACAGUGUGUCAUUCUUAAAUCCUCCCUCGCCUGCCCACAAAGCUCCCACAAGAAAUGUGCUUUGUUAGCUGGGAGCACUUGUUUUACAUACACUGUCUCAAUUGUCAAAAUUACAAAAAAGUUAAACCUUCUGCUGAUGUAUAUAAGGAAAACAGCAUUUCAGCCACAGAACAGCUCUGUGUUUUACAUAAGGCUUCUAAUUAUUACAAAAUUUUAAAGAGGAAGAGGCAAAAAGAAAACAGAAAUCAGUCUUUUUGGAGAAGAUAUGGAAAAAAAUCUUUUAUUUGGAUUUUGAGUCAUCUGAUAACUUAAGGCGUAGCAUAACUGAAUGUCUAGGCAAAAAACAGAUGGUGUUUUCAACCUUGCAAGAGGGUGAUGGGGGGACUUUCUAAGUUCGCUCCCAACCUAAAUUGUUUUAUGAAAAUAACGGCAUUGUACUAUUAGAAAACCACUUACUACUUUAUGCUAUUUGACUUAUAUUGUGAUGUUAUUUUAAUGUAAUAUCUGGAAUUAUUAUAUUAUACAAAACUUUAUCUCUGUUUUCAUUACAUAUAUAUAUAUGAAGACAUUUACUCAAUCAUAUGCACUACAUCUAUACCUAUGUAUAUAUAUCUAUAUCUCUGUGUAUUAACUAUAAUUAUUUAGUGUACAUACCAUUUAUUUUCAAAGUUCAUAUCCUGCAUUUAUUGUGAAUAAAUAGAACUGUAUUUCCCUAUGUUUCAUAUGCCUCCCAGAUUUCUAAUAGCCUCAGUUCCAUUUUGUUUUAGCAGACUUAUGUGCUCCAUCAUCAUAAAAGUCUGUAGAAAAUACACCAUGGAUGUAGGUAUUGUCUGUCCACUCACUGUUUUCAUGUUGCUUACAAAAGUACAGCAAACAAACCAGUAAGCAAAGAUAACACAAAUAAACUCAUUUUUAUGUUAAAGUUUUCAUAAUGUUUAUUUCUUAAAUAAGCAGUGCUAAAGAGAAGCAAAUACACACAUCAAGCCCAUUUUAGGACAUCCAUAGGAGACAAGCACAUCUCCUUGCCUUCUUAAAUUCACUGCAAAAGCUUCCUUUGACUGCAGGGGGAGCAAGAAUUUUCCUAAAGUAUUUUUGAAGCAUUUAGCUGUGUUGCCCUCACUGUGUAGCGUCUUGCUUGUUAGCUAGAUAAUUAUAUAGAACAGAAAGAAUGAACUACAUACAUAGCAUAUGAAGCACUGAGCAGUGUGUUGCCUCAGGCUGAGUCUCUGUAGAAACAAAUGUAUAAAAGAGGCUAAAGUUAGUAAUUUAAUUUCUUUGUAUUAUUAUACCAAAAAUAUAAUUUCAUACAGAAUGAACAGCCAGAUAUAAAUUUAUCUUGGAAUAACAGGAAAUUCAUAUUGUUAGAAAGGUAAUUUUUCUACUUCUGCAAUAAAUAGAUGAGUUUUAUCAGUGCUACACUGUGUUCUUCACCUGAAUAUGUAGCCUUAUGAUUUAAUCUAUGCUCCUAUUAUAUUUUGUCCUAAUAUCCUCAAUAAGGAUUAUAUAUGGACAAAUCAUUCUUUUGUAUUCAUUAGAAUCUUAUUAAACUGCAUAGAAGAAUCAAUGCAGCUUCUAGAAGUUAAUGUACUCACAGGGAUGAGUCAGAAAUAAGGUAGCUGGAACAGUUUCCACCCCAGCUCUAAGUCUGCCCCUAA
RNAcentral lists this long non-coding RNA (7405 nucleotides) under Taeniopygia guttata (zebra finch). RNAcentral's name for it is "lncRNA (ENSTGUG00000020591.1)". Lineage: Eukaryota; Metazoa; Chordata; Aves; Passeriformes; Estrildidae. The record is from RNAcentral.